RNAcentral lists this unclassified non-coding RNA (1879 nucleotides) under Penaeus japonicus. Its description in RNAcentral is "cytochrome P450 2L1-like, transcript variant X4". The record is from RNAcentral. Lineage: Eukaryota; Metazoa; Arthropoda; Malacostraca; Decapoda; Penaeidae.
CCUGCCCACUCACUCACCCAGUAGCUUUCAACCAUGACAGACGUUCUCUAGCAGUGUUCAGGGCAUCAGGUAGAAAAGUAGCUAAAAUCAAGUGCCUGCUGUAGAAAAUUCAUUUGGAAAUUGAUAAAAAAUAAAACGGCAUAUAUACUCUAGAAGUCUGCAAGUACAAUUUCAACGAGAUAACGUCGAACAUCACACAGUAUAAGAAGCACCAUGCUGACGGAGGCGCUAUUGGGAGUCCUUCUGUUUGUGUUGCUCUUCGCCUUCGUCAACAGAAGGCCUGAAAAUCUCCCACCAGGGCUAUGGGGUUUGCCAAUAGUAGGGAAACUUCCCUCCGACGAAGAGUCUCUUUACGACCAAGUAGAGCGGCUGAAGAAGAAGUUUGGUAACACCGUAUCGUGGCGCAUGGGCAGCCGGAUCUUCAUCUUCUUCUGCGACUACAAGACCAUCAAGGCCGCCUUCGCCAAACCGGAGUUCGCUGACAGGCCGGACCUCUACAGCCUCACUGUCUUUAACCGGUUCUCCAAUAACGGUAUAAUCGUCUCCAGCGGUCUAAUUUGGCAAAACAACCGAAGAUUCACCCUUCGUCACCUGAGGGACCUCGGCAUGGGCAAGACCCGCUUGGAGGAAGCCAUCCAGCACGAGGCCGUCUGUCUGGUCGAGGACUUCGCGAGACACACGGGGCGUCCAGGUCCCCUCCCCUCGUCCAUCAACGUGGCUGUUCUCAACAUCAUCUGGCAGAUGGUUGCAGGCAGACGCUAUGACGUGAAUGAUUUCGAAAUCCAGAAGCUAAAUCAGGCCACCAAUUCGUCCUUCGAGGACUUCCAAGGAGUCCAGUGGUUCGAUUUCAUGCCGUGGAUAGUGCCCCUCGCGCCCCACUUCCUCAAGAAGUGGAUCGGCGCGGUUGAUCUGAAUGACAAAAUAAAAAUGAUCAGUCAGCAUGUAGCUAAACACGUGCGGGAGCACCAGGCGACGCUCGACCCCGAGAACCCCCGCGACUACAUCGACGCCUAUUUGCUGGAGAUGGAAGCCCGGAAGGACGACCCUCAGUCGACCAUGAGCAUUGAAGAUUUGCUGUGUUGCCUGUCCGACCUGUUCAAUGCUGGCAGCGAGACCACGGCCUCCACCCUCCGCUGGGCCCUCCUGUACCUGGCCAAGUACCCCGAAGUCCAGGCCAAAGUCCACAAGGAGAUCGACUCCGUGGUUCCGAGGGACGUUCUUCCCUCCAUUCUGCAGAAGAACAGUCUGCCAUAUCUGGAAGCUGCCACUCUAGAAGUUCACCGAAUAGUGUCUUUUGCUCGCCUGGGAGUUUACCAUGCGUGCGCCAGAGACACGGAAUUCGAAGGCUACAUCAUACCUAAAGGUGCCAUUCUAGCAGCUCAUCAGGAAGGCUGCCACAUGGACCCCGCCUAUUGGGAGAAACCUUACGAAUUCCAUCCUGAACACUUCCUCGACGACCAGGGGAAGGUUCUCACCAAGAAGGAAGGAUUCUUGCCCUUUGGUUUUGGUCGCCGCCAGUGCCUCGGGGAAUCGCUGGCUCGCAUGGAGCUCUUCGUCUUCCUCUCGGCUCUGCUCCAGAACUUCUCCUUCUCGGCUCCCGAAGGCCAGGAAAUAAGCGUGGAGAAGGACCCUAAACUUCCACUUCUCAAUUUACCGAAACCAGUCGACAUCAUUAUCACAAAGCGGAUAUAAUGAUCAAGUUAGAAGGUCUUAUGUGCUGAAUUCUGCGCUAUUGGGGACCUACCAACGAAGUAAUUUAAAAGAUAGAGAAUGAGAGACGUCCUCCAGGACCGCUCAGGACAACAAGCAUCCUCAAGCAGCAUCUUCCACGACCGCACUUCGUCUCUCCUCGGCACAACGCCGGUUUGUCCUCUUGCAG